CGGCUUUUUCUCGUUAGAAGAACGCACAAGAUACAUGUUUCUGCGCGGGAGAGAAGCUGAGACUACCGAGAACAACGAGUCAUCGAUAGCUUUGCAAGAAACUGUCCGUAUACUAUACCACUGACGAGGUACUGUUACGUCUGAACUGGUAUUAUGAUAAAAUGCCGUAUCUGUUGUAUUUUCACGGAAUCAGAACUGUCUGUCUAAUUAUUAUCAUUUGCUUAUUUAUCUCUGCGGCACUGAACAUCAAACACAACGAAAAGGAUACAAACCUUCGUCUAUCAGAUUUGGAAAGCAAGCGAUAUAAUGACAAUAAAGAAUGGUUUAAUCUAUAUCUGAAGCUAUUUAUCGUGCUAUUUAUUUUAUUAGACAUAAAAUGGUU
Molecule: long non-coding RNA, 382 nt
Organism: Nylanderia fulva
Lineage: Eukaryota; Metazoa; Arthropoda; Insecta; Hymenoptera; Formicidae
Source: RefSeq, a predicted model, not a curated record